UAUAGCUCAUAAUUUCGAAGAAGUGUUUUUCUUUACACUUAAAGAAUGGCAAUGCCUGCAGUUCUAAAAAGGUGACAUUUGAAGUGAGCCCUGGGUUGGUCUCAGAACAAAUCUGCCUUUUCUCACUCCUGAUCCGAAAGGAGCAGAGCUCUAAUUCACUGCAGCAGCUCUUGCUGGUCUGCCAAGUGACUUUGACUGGAGCUGCUCCAACGGGCUGCUUGCUUCCAUGUGCUGUAGGCCACAGACAAUUCCCAUAACAGAAGCAUCACAGCAAAGUAUGUUUUCCAUUUUCCUGUGGGAGUUUGUUUCCGUUUCUCUUUAUUGCCCACUUGGAAGAGAAGACUGGCAGAAACAUUUUGCAGAGAUUAAAUACAGCUGCAUCUCAGUUUGUAUUCAUAGCUUCUGUCCAGUGCUCGGGGUGCUUCAGUGUCAGCUGAAAUAUCUCUGUAUCUUCUCAAAUGUUUUUCAAUCUCCAUUUGUUCAGUCUUAGCCUUCUGAAACCAGUUCUCUGGUCUCCACUCUUCCCAUCUGCAUUUCCUGAAGAUUUUGGAACUGCUGGAACCGCAUUUAUUUUGGGGGAAAAGUAGCUGCAUUGGGCAAAACGGGAAGUCAGUACUCAACAGCGUGUUGUCACAUCUCAUCUUGGCAGCGGCUAUGAUAUAAUGAAAGAUAAGGUUCUCCAUCUCACUGGGAUCCCAGGUACCCCUUCUGCUUUAUGAAGAGAGGUGGCCCAAGGCAAUUAAGGUGCUUGUGCCAUUCCUCUGCAGUUGUGUACAGCAUUUGCCAGCCUGAACUGAAAGCUGUGCUGCUGUCUGCAUGCAAUGGGAAGCUGCAUAGUAAAGCAUUGUCUCCAAGGAUGCCUUCUGUACCUUCAUGCCAGACCAUCGUUUAUGGUGGACAUCUGGCAGACAUGAUACAGUGCAACCUGCCUUUGGUGUCCCGUCAGGUCGGACAGGCUCUUGUUCUCUGGAGCAGUUUCCCUGCCAAAUGCCAUCAUAUCACAUCUAAGCUGCUUUUUGUGUGUGAUACUGUACUCUGGGAGCACUGAGAGGCUCUCUACCCAAUCCAAGCCUAAACAUGGCACUGCCUCUGUGUGGGUAAAGGCACACACUGGAGGCUGUCAGCUGCUCUGUUCUGCUUUACUCUGUGUCUCCUGCUGCGUAGGGUGCAUCUGUGCACGGCAAAGUGGGCAUGCCUUCUUGUUAAGAAGCCUAUAUGGAACUUGUGCAGCUGCUAUUGCAAAGCGUAACUGGAACUUCUGGAUAUCACCGUUGCCUGAUGCUGCAAAUCUAAGGCCACAAGUUUCAAUGAAGUUACCGAUAAAUAACUGCCACAGACCUGUGAGAUGAAGAGUGUACAGGCCUCCUGCUGCUGCUUUCUGAGGUGAAGACAGAGACUCAGCAUUUAACCCAAGUUGCAGGGCUGCUUGCUGGGUGACACAGAUGCGUUCUCAGUGCCUUGCCAGCACUGCAGGAAUCAGGUGCUUGCGGGGUACAGGGUGAUUUUGUUGUGCCAUUGUGUUGAUGCCAAGUUUCCUCUGGCUUUAAAUGUCUGGCUGACAUUCAUUCUUACAAACACUUUUCUGAUAGGGAAACAAGGUUACGUAGUUGUACUAGAAAUAAAUAAGUAAAAGGUAAAACCUGUAGAAAAUGUCUGGAUAGUCUUUGAAGGAAGAGCACUUUCCUGUAUUCCUUAGGAAGCCUCCUGUAACAAGCAUGGAGAAGGCAAGGAACCAAAAAGAGGAAAGCGUGGAUGAAUUCUGAGUCCCAGCAGAGCAGAAGUUACAGCUGCAGUUCAGAGCAGGUAGGCAUUUACAGUUUUAAUAGAGGUCUUAUCUCUCAGUGCUCUCAAAAUGCUGUGCUUUCUUCUGAAACUCCAUCUCCUCCUCCCUACUGCUGGCUGCAGGGCAGGCACUGCUUUGCAUCCCUAAGUCUGAGUCAGGAUGCGGGAGCA
Centrocercus urophasianus (Greater sage-grouse) is the source of this 1953-nucleotide long non-coding RNA. RefSeq lists it as uncharacterized. The transcript is spliced from 4 exons. The record is from RefSeq and is a predicted model, not a curated record. Lineage: Eukaryota; Metazoa; Chordata; Aves; Galliformes; Phasianidae.